RNAcentral lists this long non-coding RNA (1416 nucleotides) under Marmota monax (woodchuck). Lineage: Eukaryota; Metazoa; Chordata; Mammalia; Rodentia; Sciuridae. The record is from RNAcentral.
CAGAAAACUAAAAAAUAAAUAUUAAAAAAAAAUUCUCUCUCUCUCUCUCUCUCUCUCUCUCUCUCUCUCUCUGUCUUAAAAAAAAAAAGUCACAGGUCUUAUGUUUUCAGUCAUGUGGAAGCUAGAGAAGGAAAAAAGGGAUCCAUGAAAAUAGAAGGAAGGCUAGCGAGACAGAGGAAGAGAAUUAGGGGGAAGGAGGAGGAGGGCAAGGGGAGAUACUGGAGGAUGAAAUUGAUCAAAUUAUGUUAUGUACAUGAAUGGAUGAGCCACAAUGAAACCCAUUAUUCUGUUUGUUUAUUAUACAUCAAAUUGAAAAGUUUUGGGCUGGGGAUGUAGCUCUGUGGUAGAGCAUUUUCCUAUAAAGACUCUACGUUUAGUUCCCAGCACUGUUCCCCCCUCCUCCCUGAUAAUUUUAUUGAAUUUGGACAGAUUUUGUUAUUAAAAAAUGUCAGGCCAGUAAUACAGCUCUUGUGGUACUUAAUUUUGCAACUUUAAUAAAUGCUCUUGGCUUAAACAUCAGCUGAAAUGAUCUAAAAAGUGAAUCACUAUACAAAGAGUCCCAUUUAUAUCUCUGUUAUAAAUGGUCUUAUUUCUUAUGGGCCAAACUUGUGAUUACUUUCUUCUUGUGAUUUUGGCUUUAUUUUUACAAACUGUUAUAAUAAGAAUAUGUUUCUGAAUCUGUAAUAUUGAACAUAUAGAGAUGUAUUAUUUAGAAGUUGAUAUUGAAAACCUCUAAACUUCUGACCUUGAAUAGAAUUUGCUAUGUACAACGAUUGCACACAGCUGUUGGAUUCAUAGUUGGCCUUUCUGGAUCUCUGCUUUGUGAAAAAUAGUGUGUAUUGGACAUGAGUACAUGACAGCUGACAUUUAUCAAGGAUAACAGGAGCUCUACUCAUUUUCACGUUUUAAAGCAACUUUGAAAGCUUUGCAUGUGCACACAUGGUCAACAUAUGUUUCUAAACUUUAAAUGUAUUUUCCAUCAUGGUAGCUUGUUAAUAAAAAACUUAAGUAUAAAUUCUCAAUGAGCUUCGUACAUUAAAGUUAUGAGUAUACAAGCACCUGAAGAUCAACAGUGCAGGUUAUUGAAUUCAUUUCUUUGGAAUUUUAUCUUGUAAUUUGGACACUGUCGUACAUGUCGGUAAUCCCAGCUCCUUGGGAGGCCAAGGCAGGCUGAUGACAAGUUCAAGUCCAGUUUGGGUAAUGUAUGUUAAAAAAACCAACCCCCCCAAACCAAAACCAAACCAAAAAAAACCCCCCAAAGAACCCAAAACUAAAACAUGCUCCAGAUAGUACUUUUGUAACAUAAUUGUAAUUUUGGCAUUUCUUUCAUUUCCCUAACACAAAAUUUGGUCCAAUGUGUAGAAAAUGGAAUUAUAGAUAUAAUACCCCCCACCCUCUUAACUACUGGUAUAUUUG